This 71-nucleotide transfer RNA is filed under the name bacterium. RNAcentral describes it as "tRNA-Gly". It matches the Rfam family "tRNA". From Rfam's summary of the family: Transfer RNA (tRNA) molecules are approximately 80 nucleotides in length. Their secondary structure includes four short double-helical elements and three loops (D, anti-codon, and T loops). The record is from RNAcentral.
GCGAGUAUAGUUUAAUGGCAGAAUAGCAGUUUUCCAAACUGUGGGCGGGAGUUCGAUUCUCCCUACUCGCA